AAUAUGUUAGGUAAAUUCUGCUCUAUGAAAUAUUAGUUUUAAUGGCCGCAGUAAACUGACUGUGCUAAGGUAGCAUAAUAAAUUGGCCUUUAAUUGGGGUCUGGUAUGAACGGGAAUAUAUGUGAUGACUGUCUCAUUUGUAAUUACCAAAAUUUACUUAGUAGGUGAAAAUGCCUAUAAGAAAUAUUGAAGGACGAUAAGACCCUUAGAAUUAUUAAAAAGUUGAUAUAACUAAUACUCUUACUUUUUUUGUUGGGGCGACAUAUUAUCAUGCAACAUAAUUUUAUUUACUUAUUACAAGACUAAUUUAUUUAGUAAGAUUUAAUUACCUGAGGGAUAACAGCAUAAUAUUACUAUAUGUUUAUGACCUCGAUGUUGGACUAGGUAAUCUAUUAACUAACAGUUACUAGUUAUUGUUCUGUUCGAACAGUUAC
Molecule: ribosomal RNA, 434 nt
Filed under: Anguispira mordax
Lineage: Eukaryota; Metazoa; Mollusca; Gastropoda; Stylommatophora; Discidae
Description: partial large subunit ribosomal RNA
Source: RNAcentral